RNAcentral lists this non-coding RNA (766 nucleotides) under Pan troglodytes (chimpanzee). Lineage: Eukaryota; Metazoa; Chordata; Mammalia; Primates; Hominidae. The record is from RNAcentral.
AGUAAUACCUGGCAAUCUGUUUAAGAUCAUUGACAGGCCUGAGAGUUUUCCAUAUGGCCUGCACCCUAACCUCUGGGAAGAAAAUAUCCACAACGUAAUUUCUACAAGAUUAGAGGAAGAAGAGAGGCAACGGGGAUUCCAUUUCUACUAGGAGUAUCAACCUCUGAGAGGGAUAUAUCCAUCUCUGUGGAUGUCAUCUGCUCUGCAGAAAACCUUUUCUUGGAACUCCCAGGAAACAUGAAUCUGAUGUGGACCCUCCUCCUUUUCCUCCUUUUGGACCUAACUGUCUUCACUCCAGCCCUGCCCUUCUCAACACGACAUAUAGACAACCCCAGGUCUUGGGUCCCUAGAGGACACCACUGAUACUGUGAUGUGAUGAUGAGGUGCUGUUGGCUGUAUCCAUAGGGGUAAAUGCAAGCCGAUCCACACAUUCAUUCAUAGAAUCUGACCACCAUAGCAGAUUUCUGCAGAACUCCACCACUGCCCUGUACCAACAGCCCCCUCCAUGUGCAGCUGCCACAACAGUACUCAUGAUGUCAAUGUCACUGACUGCUUUGCCAGCACAGGGACCCGACCUCUUCGCUGCCACUACCAAAAAUAAGAAGGAGUCCACCAGGCCCAUGCGAGUGGGCUGCAAGAAGGGGGCAUCUGUUCACCUGGAUGGCUAGGUUCCUCCUGACACCGGCACCUGAAUGACUUGCACCCUACGCCUUCAAAUCUUUGCAGCACUGUCAAGGUCUUCUUUGUAAAUGCUUCGUCCUUUGCA